This 253-nucleotide ribosomal RNA is filed under the name uncultured bacterium. RNAcentral describes it as "partial 16S ribosomal RNA". It matches the Rfam family "Bacterial small subunit ribosomal RNA", at positions 524 to 776 of the family's 1533-position model. The record is from RNAcentral.
UACGAAGGGAGCUAGCGUUGUUCGGAAUCACUGGGCGUAAAGCGCAAGUCGGCGGAUUUGUCAGUCGGGGGUGAAAUCCCGAGGCUCAACCUCGGAACUGCCUCCGAUACAGCAAAUCUCGAGUCCGGGAGAGGUGGGUGGAAUUCCUAGUGUAGAGGUGAAAUUCGUAGAUAUUAGGAAGAAGACCAGUGGCGAAGGCGGCCCACUGGCCCGGUACUGACGCUGAGGUGCGAAAGCGUGUGGAGCAAACAGG